CCUACGGGAGGCAGCAGUGGGGAAUAUUGGACAAUGGGGUGAACCCUGAUCCAGCGACGCCGCGUGAGUGAAGAAGUAUUUCGGUAUGUAAAGCUCUAUCAGCAGGGAAGAAAAUGACGGUACCUGACUAAGAAGCCCCGGCUAACUACGUGCCAGCAGCCGCGGUAAGACGUAGGGGGCAAGCGUUAUCCGGAUUUACUGGGUGUAAAGGGAGCGUAGACGGUGCAGCAAGUCUGAUGUGAAAGGUCGGGGCCCAACCCCGGGACUGCCUUGGAAACUGUUGAACUGGAGUACAGGAGAGGUAAGCGGAAUUCCUAGUGUAGCGGUGAAAGGCGUAGAUAUUAGGAGGAACACCGGUGGCGAAGGCGGCUUACUGGACUGUAACUGACGUUGAGGCUCGAAAGCGUGGGGAGCAAACAGGAUUAGAUACCCUUGUAGUC
This 440-nucleotide ribosomal RNA is filed under the name uncultured bacterium. RNAcentral describes it as "partial 16S ribosomal RNA". It matches the Rfam family "Bacterial small subunit ribosomal RNA", at positions 338 to 795 of the family's 1533-position model. The record is from RNAcentral.